Molecule: ribosomal RNA, 405 nt
Filed under: uncultured prokaryote
Description: bacterial SSU rRNA
Rfam family: Bacterial small subunit ribosomal RNA
Source: RNAcentral
UGGGGAAUAUUGGGCAAUGGGCGCAAGCCUGACCCAGCAACGCCGCGUGAAGGAAGAAGGCUUUCGGGUUGUAAACUUCUUUUGGCAGGGACGAAACAAAUGACGGUACCUGCAGAAUAAGCUCCGGCUAACUACGUGCCAGCAGCCGCGGUAAUACGGAGGGAGCAAGCGUUAUCCGGAUUUACUGGGUGUAAAGGGCGCGUAGGCGGGAAUGCAAGUCAGAUGUGAAAUCUGAGGGCUCAACCCCCAAACUGCAUUUGAAACUGUAUGUCUUGAGUGAUGGAGAGGCAAGUGGAAUUCCUAGUGUAGCGGUGAAAUGCGUAGAUAUUAGGAGGAACACCAGUGGCGAAGGCGACUUGCUGGACAUUAACUGACGCUGAGGCGCGAAAGCGUGGGGAGCAAACA